GUGGGGAAUAUUGGACAAUGGGCGAAAGCCUGAUCCAGCCAUGCCGCGUGUGUGAAGAAGGUCUUCGGAUUGUGAAGCACUUUAAGUUGGGAGGAAGGGCAGUACGUUAAUACCUUGCUGUUUUGACGUUACCGACAGAAUAAGCACCGGCUAACUUCGUGCCAGCAGCCGCGGUAAUACGAAGGGUGCAAGCGUUAAUCGGAAUUACUGGGCGUAAAGCGCGCGUAGGUGGUUCGUUAAGUUGGAUGUGAAAGCCCCGGGCUCAACCUGGGAACUGCAGCCAAAACUGGCGAGCUAGAGUACGGUAGAGGGUGGUGGAAUUUCCUGUGUAGCGGUGAAAUGCGUAGAUAUAGGAAGGAACACCAGUGGCGAAGGCGACCACCUGGACUGAUACUGACACUGAGGUGCGAAAGCGUGGGGAGCAAACAGGAUUAGAAACCCUAGUAGUCC
This 450-nucleotide ribosomal RNA is filed under the name uncultured bacterium. RNAcentral's name for it is "partial 16S ribosomal RNA". It matches the Rfam family "Bacterial small subunit ribosomal RNA", at positions 354 to 796 of the family's 1533-position model. The record is from RNAcentral.